AAGAAGAAGAAGAAGGACAACAUUUCUUCAAACGUUUCAUGCAAAAGAUUCAACAAAUCUAAGACUUUCUGUGUGUGUGUGUGUGUGUGUGUGUGUGUGUGUGUGUGUGUGUGUGUGUGUGUGUGUGUGUGCAUAUCACAUGCCUCCAUCCUACUGUGACUCUACAGCAACCAGCUUAUGCCUCUCUGAUUUGGUGACAUCUUGACUUGAUCCAGUAGAUGACGACAGACACGAAGAAACUCAGCAAUGCGACAGGAUGAGGCCUGCGGCCGAACGCGGCGUAUUAAUACAGGGGGAAACGUUGAAUAGAGUCCAACCAGCUGGAAAAAAAGAGCUUCUGUCCACCCACAGUGCCACUGCAUGAUCAGCGAUGGUGUGGAUGUUAAAGCAAGGGAGGAAAUAUAUAGCCUGAAGAGGGA
This is a long non-coding RNA of Betta splendens (Siamese fighting fish), 419 nucleotides long. RefSeq lists it as uncharacterized. The record is from RefSeq and is a predicted model, not a curated record. The transcript is spliced from 3 exons. NCBI's taxonomy places the organism in Eukaryota, Metazoa, Chordata, Actinopteri, Anabantiformes, Osphronemidae.